This 65-nucleotide transfer RNA is filed under the name Actinomycetota bacterium. RNAcentral's name for it is "tRNA-Arg". Lineage: Bacteria; Bacillati; Actinomycetota. The record is from RNAcentral.
GCCGCUCGGCGCGCGUGUCCGGCCUUCUGAGCCGUGGGCCGCAGGUUCAAGUCCUGCCGGGGGCG